UAGGGAAUAUUGGACAAUGGGGGCAACCCUGAUCCAGCCAUGCCGCGUGAGUGAAGAAGACCCUCGGGUUGUAAAGCUCUUUUGUCCGGAAAGAAAAGCUUCGGGUUAAUACCCCGGGGUUCUGACGGUAGCGGGAGAAGAAGCCCCGGCUAACUCCGUGCCAGCAGCCGCGGUAAUACGGAGGGGGCUAGCGUUGUUCGGAAUUACUGGGCGUAAAGCGUACGUAGGCGGAUGCGCAAGUUGGGGGUGAAAUCCCGGGGCUUAACCUCGGAAUUGCCCUCAAAACUGCACGUCUUGAGACCGAGAGAGGUAAGGGGAAUUCCUAGUGUAGAGGUGAAAUUCGUAGAUAUUAGGAAGAACACCAGUGGCGAAGGCGCCUUACUGGCUCGGUACUGACGCUGAGGUACGAAAGCGUGGGGAGCAAAC
This 426-nucleotide ribosomal RNA is filed under the name uncultured bacterium. RNAcentral's name for it is "bacterial SSU rRNA". It matches the Rfam family "Bacterial small subunit ribosomal RNA", at positions 355 to 773 of the family's 1533-position model. The record is from RNAcentral.